This 497-nucleotide ribosomal RNA is filed under the name uncultured bacterium. RNAcentral's name for it is "bacterial SSU rRNA". It matches the Rfam family "Bacterial small subunit ribosomal RNA", at positions 15 to 518 of the family's 1533-position model. The record is from RNAcentral.
GAUCCUGGCUUAGGAUGAACGCUGGCGGCGUGCUUAACACAUGCAAGUCGAACGAAUUCUUCGGAACGCGGCUCGGCAGGAGAGAGAAGUGAGUGGCGGACGGGUGAGUAACGCGUGGGUAACCUGCCUCACAUCGGGGGAUACCAGUCGGAAACGACUGCUAAAACCGCAUAAGACCACGGUAUCGCAUGAUACUGAGGCCAAAACUCCGGUGAUGUGAGAUGGACCCGCGUCUGAUUAGCCAGUUGCGGGGUAACGGCCCACCAAAGCGACGAUCAGUAGCCGACCUGAGAGGGUGAUCGGCCACAUUGGGACUGAGACACGGCCCAAACUCCUACGGGAGGCAGCAGUGGGGAAUAUUGCACAAUGGGGGAAACCCUGAUGCCAGCGACGCCGCGUGAGUGAUGAAGUAUUUCGGUACGUAAAGCUCUAUCAGCAGGAACGAUAAUGACGGUACCUGACUAAGAAGCACCGGCUAAAUACGUGCCAGCCGCCGC